RNAcentral lists this ribosomal RNA (253 nucleotides) under uncultured bacterium. Its description in RNAcentral is "partial 16S ribosomal RNA". It matches the Rfam family "Bacterial small subunit ribosomal RNA", at positions 524 to 776 of the family's 1533-position model. The record is from RNAcentral.
UACGAAGGGGGCUAGCGUUGUUCGGAAUUACUGGGCGUAAAGCGCGCGCAGGCGGUCUUCCAAGUCAGUGGUGAAAGCCCGGAGCUCAACUCCGGAAUUGCCAUUGAAACUGUUGGACUUGAGGAUGAGAGAGGUGAGUGGAAUUCCCAGUGUAGAGGUGAAAUUCGUAGAUAUUGGGAAGAACACCAGUGGCGAAGGCGACUUACUGGACACAUAUUGACGCUGAGGUGCGAAAGCGUGGGGAGCAAACAGG